RNAcentral lists this transfer RNA (76 nucleotides) under Actinobacteria bacterium IMCC26256. RNAcentral's name for it is "tRNA-Met". It matches the Rfam family "tRNA". Rfam says of the family: Transfer RNA (tRNA) molecules are approximately 80 nucleotides in length. Lineage: Bacteria; Bacillati; Actinomycetota; Actinomycetes. The record is from RNAcentral.
GGGGCCGUAGCUCAGUGGUUAGAGCAGGGGACUCAUAAUCCCUCGGUCGAAGGUUCGAUCCCUUCCGGCCCCACGA